Molecule: ribosomal RNA, 1004 nt
Filed under: Akanthomyces xixiuensis
Lineage: Eukaryota; Fungi; Ascomycota; Sordariomycetes; Hypocreales; Cordycipitaceae
Description: SSU rRNA
Rfam family: Eukaryotic small subunit ribosomal RNA
Source: RNAcentral
ACUGCGAAUGGCUCAUUAUAUAAGUUAUCGUUUAUUUGAUAGUACCUUACUACUUGGAUAACCGUGGUAAUUCUAGAGCUAAUACAUGCUAAAAAUCCCGACUCCGGAAGGGAUGUAUUUAUUAGAUUAAAAACCAAUGCCCUCUGGGCUCCUUGGUGAUUCAUGAUAACUUUUCGAAUCGCAUGGCCUUGCGCCGGCGAUGGUUCAUUCAAAUUUCUUCCCUAUCAACUUUCGAUGUUUGGGUAUUGGCCAAACAUGGUCGCAACGGGUAACGGAGGGUUAGGGCUCGACCCCGGAGAAGGAGCCUGAGAAACGGCUACUACAUCCAAGGAAGGCAGCAGGCGCGCAAAUUACCCAAUCCCGAUUCGGGGAGGUAGUGACAAUAAAUACUGAUACAGGGCUCUUUUGGGUCUUGUAAUUGGAAUGAGUACAAUUUAAAUCCCUUAACGAGGAACAAUUGGAGGGCAAGUCUGGUGCCAGCAGCCGCGGUAAUUCCAGCUCCAAUAGCGUAUAUUAAAGUUGUUGUGGUUAAAAAGCUCGUAGUUGAACCUUGGGCCUGGCUGGCCGGUCCGCCUCACCGCGUGCACUGGUCCGGCCGGGCCUUUCCCUCUGUGGAACCCCAUGCCCUUCACUGGGUGUGGCGGGGAAACAGGACUUUUACUUUGAAAAAAUUAGAGUGCUCCAGGCAGGCCUAUGCUCGAAUACAUUAGCAUGGAAUAAUGAAAUAGGACGUGUGGUUCUAUUUUGUUGGUUUCUAGGACCGCCGUAAUGAUUAAUAGGGACAGUCGGGGGCAUCAGUAUUCAAUUGUCAGAGGUGAAAUUCUUGGAUUUAUUGAAGACUAACUACUGCGAAAGCAUUUGCCAAGGAUGUUUUCAUUAAUCAGGAACGAAAGUUAGGGGAUCGAAGACGAUCAGAUACCGUCGUAGUCUUAACCAUAAACUAUGCCGACUAGGGAUCGGACGAUGUUAUUUUUUGACGCGUUCGGCACCUUACGAGAAAUCAA